UAAGUUAGAAAGGGCGCACGGUGGAUGCCUUGACACUAGGAGUCGAUGAAGGACGGGACUAACGCCGAUAUGCUUCGGGGAGCUGUAAGUAAGCUUUGAUCCGAAGAUUUCCGAAUGGGGAAACCCACCAUACGUAAUGGUAUGGUAUCCUUAUCUGAAUACAUAGGGUAAGGAAGACAGACCCAGGGAACUGAAACAUCUAAGUACCUGGAGGAAGAGAAAGCAAAUGCGAUUUCCUGAGUAGCGGCGAGCGAAACGGAACAUAGCCCAAACCAAGAGGCUUGCCUCUUGGGGUUGUAGGACAUUCUAUACGGAGUUACAAAGGAACGAGGUAGACGAAGCGACCUGGAAAGGUCCGUCGUAGAGGGUAACAACCCCGUAGUCGAAACUUCGUUCUCUCUUGAAUGUAUCCUGAGUACGGCGGAACACGUGAAAUUCCGUCGGAAUCUGGGAGGACCAUCUCCCAAGGCUAAAUACUCCCUAGUGAUCGAUAGUGAACCAGUACCGUGAGGGAAAGGUGAAAAGCACCCCGGAAGGGGAGUGAAAGAGAUCCUGAAACCGUGUGCCUACAAAUAGUCAGAGCCCGUUAACGGGUGAUGGCGUGCCUUUUGUAGAAUGAACCGGCGAGUUACGAUCCCGUGCAAGGUUAAGCUGAAGAGGCGGAGCCGCAGCGAAAGCGAGUCUGAAUAGGGCGUUUAGUACGUGGUCGUAGACCCGAAACCAGGUGAUCUACCCAUGUCCAGGGUGAAGUUCAGGUAACACUGAAUGGAGGCCCGAACCCACGCACGUUGAAAAGUGCGGGGAUGAGGUGUGGGUAGCGGAGAAAUUCCAAUCGAACCUGGAGAUAGCUGGUUCUCCCCGAAAUAGCUUUAGGGCUAGCCUUAAGUGUAAGAGUCUUGGAGGUAGAGCACUGAUUGGACUAGGGGUCCUCAUCGGAUUACCGAAUUCAGUCAAACUCCGAAUGCCAAUGACUUAUCCUUAGGAGUCAGACUGCGAGUGAUAAGAUCCGUAGUCAAAAGGGAAACAGCCCAGACCGCCAGCUAAGGUCCCAAAGUGUGUAUUAAGUGGAAAAGGAUGUGGAGUUGCUUAGACAACUAGGAUGUUGGCUUAGAAGCAGCCACCAUUUAAAGAGUGCGUAAUAGCUCACUAGUCGAGUGACUCUGCGCCGAAAAUGUACCGGGGCUAAAUACACCACCGAAGCUGCGGAUUGAUACCAAUGGUAUCAGUGGUAGGGGAGCGUUCUAAGGACAGUGAAGUCAGACCGGAAGGACUGGUGGAGUGCUUAGAAGUGAGAAUGCCGGUAUGAGUAGCGAAAGACGGGUGAGAAUCCCGUCCACCGAAUGCCUAAGGUUUCCUGAGGAAGGCUCGUCCGCUCAGGGUUAGUCAGGACCUAAGCCGAGGCCGACAGGCGUAGGCGAUGGACAACAGGUUGAUAUUCCUGUACCACCUCUUUAUCGUUUGAGCAAUGGAGGGACGCAGAAGGAUAGAAGAAGCGUGCGAUUGGUUGCGCACGUCCAAGCAGUUAGGCUGAUAAGUAGGCAAAUCCGCUUAUCGUAAAGGCUGAGCUGUGAUGGGGAAGCUCCUUAUGGAGCGAAGUCUUUGAUUCCCCGCUGCCAAGAAAAGCUUCUAGCGAGAUAAAAGGUGCCUGUACCGCAAACCGACACAGGUAGGCGAGGAGAGAAUCCUAAGGUGUGCGAGAGAACUCUGGUUAAGGAACUCGGCAAAAUGACCCCGUAACUUCGGGAGAAGGGGUGCUUUCUUAACGGAAAGCCGCAGUGAAUAGGCCCAAGCGACUGUUUAGCAAAAAACACAGCUCUCUGCGAAGCCGUAAGGCGAAGUAUAGGGGGUGACACCUGCCCGGUGCUGGAAGGUUAAGGAGAGGGGUUAGCGUAAGCGAAGCUCUGAACUGAAGCCCCAGUAAACGGCGGCCGUAACUAUAACGGUCCUAAGGUAGCGAAAUUCCUUGUCGGGUAAGUUCCGACCCGCACGAAAGGUGUAACGAUUUGGGCACUGUCUCAACCAGAGACUCGGUGAAAUUAUAGUACCUGUGAAGAUGCAGGUUACCCGCGACAGGACGGAAGGACCCCGUGGAGCUUUACUGUAGCCUGAUAUUGAAUUUUGGUACAGUUUGUACAGGAUAGGCGGGAGCCUUUGAAACCGGAGCGCUAGCUUCGGUGGAGGCGCUGGUGGGAUACCGCCCUGACUGUAUUGAAAUUCUAACCUACGGGUCUUAUCGACUCGGGAGACAGUGUCAGGUGGGCAGUUUGACUGGGGCGGUCGCCUCCUAAAGUGUAACGGAGGCGCCCAAAGGUUCCCUCAGAAUGGUUGGAAAUCAUUCGUAGAGUGCAAAGGCAUAAGGGAGCUUGACUGCGAGACCUACAAGUCGAGCAGGGACGAAAGUCGGGCUUAGUGAUCCGGUGGUUCCGCAUGGAAGGGCCAUCGCUCAACGGAUAAAAGCUACCCCGGGGAUAACAGGCUUAUCUCCCCAAGAGUCCACAUCGACGGGGAGGUUUGGCACCUCGAUGUCGGCUCAUCGCAUCCUGGGGCUGUAGUCGGUCCCAAGGGUUGGGCUGUUCGCCCAUUAAAGCGGUACGCGAGCUGGGUUCAGAACGUCGUGAGACAGUUCGGUCCCUAUCCGUCGUGGGCGUAGGAAAUUUGAGAGGAGCUGUCCUUAGUACGAGAGGACCGGGAUGGACGCACCGCUGGUGUACCAGUUGUUCUGCCAAGGGCAUAGCUGGGUAGCUAUGUGCGGAAGGGAUAAGUGCUGAAAGCAUCUAAGCAUGAAGCCCCCCUCAAGAUGAGAUUUCCCAUAGCGUAAGCUAGUAAGAUCCCUGAAAGAUGAUCAGGUUGAUAGGUUCGAGGUGGAAGCAUGGUGACAUGUGGAGCUGACGAAUACUAAUAGAUCGAGGACUUAACCA
RNAcentral lists this ribosomal RNA (2918 nucleotides) under Bacillus cereus E33L. RNAcentral's name for it is "bacterial LSU rRNA". It matches the Rfam family "Bacterial large subunit ribosomal RNA". Lineage: Bacteria; Bacillati; Bacillota; Bacilli; Caryophanales; Bacillaceae. The record is from RNAcentral.